RNAcentral lists this ribosomal RNA (447 nucleotides) under uncultured bacterium. RNAcentral describes it as "partial 16S ribosomal RNA". It matches the Rfam family "Bacterial small subunit ribosomal RNA", at positions 28 to 523 of the family's 1533-position model. The record is from RNAcentral.
GAUGAACGCUGGCGGCAGGCUUAACACAUGCAAGUCGAACGCCCCGCAAGGGGAGUGGCAGACGGGUGAGUAACGCGUGGGAAUCUACCGUGCCCUACGGAACAACAGUUGGAAACGACUGCUAAUACCGUAUACGCCCUACGGGGGAAAGAUUUAUCGGGGUAUGAUGAGCCCGCGUUGGAUUAGCUAGUUGGUGGGGUAAAGGCCUACCAAGGCGACGAUCCAUAGCUGGUCUGCGAGGAUGAUCAGCCACAUUGGGACUGAGACAAGGCCCAAACUCCUACGGGGGGGAGCAGUGGGGAAUAUUGGACAAUGGGCGCAAGCCUGAUCCAGCCAUGCCGCGUGAGUGAUGAAGGUCUUAGGAUUGUAAAGCUCUUUCACCGACGAAGAUAAUGACGGUAGUCGGAGAAGAAGCCCCGGCUAACUUCGUGCCAGCCGCCGCCGUAA